GAUGAACGCUGGCGGCGUGCCUAACACAUGCAAGUCGAACGGAAAGGCCCAAACUUUCUUGGGUUCUCGAUUGGCGAACGGGUGAGUAACACGUGGGUGAUCCCCCCUGCACUUCGGGGUAAGCCUGCGAAACUGGGUCUCAUACCGCGUAUGACCUCAUUUAGGAUGGUGUGGUGGAAAGUUGUUCGGUGUGGGCUGAGCUCGCGGCCUAUCACCUUCUUGGUGGGGUAAUUGCCUACCAAGCGGUCGACGGGUCGCCGGCAUGAGAGGGUGUACGGCCACCUUGCGACUAAGAUACGGCGCAGACGGGUACGGGAGGCAGCAGUGGGGAAUCUUGCACAAUGGGGGCAAGUCAGAUGCAGAGGCGCCGCGUGGGGAAUGACGGCCUUCGGGUGGUAAACUACUGUCGAUAGGGCCGAAGCGCAAGUGACGGUACCUGGAGAAGAAGCCCCGGCUAACUACGUG
This 465-nucleotide ribosomal RNA is filed under the name uncultured bacterium. RNAcentral's name for it is "partial 16S ribosomal RNA". It matches the Rfam family "Bacterial small subunit ribosomal RNA", at positions 28 to 507 of the family's 1533-position model. The record is from RNAcentral.